RNAcentral lists this ribosomal RNA (450 nucleotides) under uncultured bacterium. Its description in RNAcentral is "partial 16S ribosomal RNA". It matches the Rfam family "Bacterial small subunit ribosomal RNA", at positions 354 to 796 of the family's 1533-position model. The record is from RNAcentral.
GUGGGGAAUUUUGGACAAUGGGCGCAAGCCUGAUCCAGCAAUGCCGCGUGCAGGAAGAAGGCCUUCGGGUUGUAAACUGCUUUUGUACGGAACGAAACGGUCCGGGUUAAUACCCUGGGCUAAUGACGGUACCGUAAGAAUAAGCACCGGCUAACUACGUGCCAGCAGCCGCGGUAAUACGUAGGGUGCAAGCGUUAAUCGGAAUUACUGGGCGUAAAGCGUGCGCAGGCGGUGCUGUAAGACAGGCGUGAAAUCCCCGGGCUUAACCUGGGAAUUGCGCUUGUGACUGCAGUGCUGGAGUGCGGCAGAGGGGGAUGGAAUUCCGCGUGUAGCAGUGAAAUGCGUAGAUAUGCGGAGGAACACCGAUGGCGAAGGCAAUCCCCUGGGCCUGCACUGACGCUCAUGCACGAAAGCGUGGGGAGCAAACAGGAUUAGAUACCCGAGUAGUCC